RNAcentral lists this ribosomal RNA (424 nucleotides) under uncultured bacterium. RNAcentral describes it as "bacterial SSU rRNA". It matches the Rfam family "Bacterial small subunit ribosomal RNA", at positions 359 to 776 of the family's 1533-position model. The record is from RNAcentral.
GAAUAUUGGACAAUGGGCGAAAGCCUGAUCCAGCCAUGCCGCGUGAGUGAUGAAGGCCCUCGGGUCGUAAAGCUCUUUGGGGAGGGACGAAACCUACGCCGUUAAUAGCGUCGGAGUUGACGGUACCUCCUUAGCAAGCACCGGCUAACCCCGUGCCAGCCGCCGCGGUAACACGGAGGGUGCAAACGUUGCUCGGAAUCAUUGGGCGUAAAGCGCACGUAGGCGGACUGGUGUGUCGGAUGUGAAAGCCCUCGGCUCAACCGAGGAAGUGCAUUCGAAACUGCCAGUAUUGAGUACGGGAGAGGAUCGCGGAAUUCCCGGUGUAGAGGUGAAAUUCGUAGAUAUCGGGAGGAACACCAGUGGCGAAGGCGGCGAUCUGGACCGAUACUGACGCUGAGGUGCGAAAGCGUGGGGAGCAAACAGG